This 339-nucleotide ribosomal RNA is filed under the name uncultured bacterium. Its description in RNAcentral is "partial 16S ribosomal RNA". It matches the Rfam family "Bacterial small subunit ribosomal RNA", at positions 338 to 694 of the family's 1533-position model. The record is from RNAcentral.
CCUACGGGUGGCAGCAGUGGGGAAUAUUGCACAAUGGGGGGAACCCUGAUGCAGCGACGCCGCGUGGGUGAAGGAGUACUUCGGUACGUAAAGCCCUAUCAGCAGGAAAGAAAAUGGCGGUACCUGACUAAGAAGCCCCGGCUAACUACGUGCCAGCAGCCGCGGUAAUACGUAGGGGGCAAGCGUUAUCCGGAUUUACUGGGUGUAAAGGGAGCGUAGGCGGCAGUGCAAGUCCGGAGUGAAAGCCCGGGGCUCAACCGUGGGACUGCUGGGGAAACUGUAAAGCUGGAGUGGGGGAGGGGCAGGCGGAAUCGGGGGGGUAGGGGUGAAAGGCGGAGA